UUGAGGGUUUGAUCCUGGCCCAGGAUGAACGCUGGCGGCGUGCCUUAGGCAUGCAAGUGGAACGAUCCUUAGAGUAAUCGAAGGAAAGUCGCGAACGGCUGAGUAUAUAGUAGGAAUCUACCCUUUGGCGGGGAAUACCCCCGAGAAAUCGGGGCUAAUACCGCAUGACCUCGUGAGAGAAAAGGGCGUAACUGCCCGCCGAAGGAGGAGCCUACUUCCCAUCAGCUUGUUGGUAGGGUAACGGCCUACCAAGGCUACGACGGGUAGGGGGCGUGAGAGCGUGACCCCCCAGAAUGGCACUGAGAUACGGGCCAUACACCUACGGGUGGCAGCAACCGGGAAUCGUGCGCAAUGGACGAAAGUCUGACGCCGCGACGCCGCGUGAGGGAUUGAAGGCGCUUGUCGUCGUAAACCUCUUUUGACCUGAGAGAGAUCGAAGGUAGAAUAAGCACUCGCUAACUACGUGCCAGCAGCUGCGGUAAUACGUAGAGUGCAAGCGUUAUCCGGAUUUAUUGGGCGUAAAGCGUUUCGUAGGCUGUUAACUAAGUUUCACUUCAAAGACCGGAGCUCAACUUCGGGAAGGGGUGAAAUACUAUUUGACUUGAAAUACUCCGGGGUUACUGGAACUGUCGGUGUAGGGGUGAAAUCCGUUGAUAUCGACAGGAACUCCAAGGGCGAAGGCAGGUAACUAGGAGAUAUUUGACGCUGAGGAACGACAGCUAGGGGAGCGAAAGGGAUUAGAGACCCCUGUAGUCCUAGCCGUAAACGAUGCUCGCUAGCUCGCCGAGUUUGACUUGGUGGGCGUAAGCUAACGCGUGAAGCGAGCCGCCUGGGGAGUACGAACGCAAGUUUAAAACUCAAAGGAAUUGACGGGGACCUGCACAACCAGUGGAGCAUGUGGUUUAAUUCGAAACAAACCGAAGAACCUUACCCGGGUUUGACAUCCAGCACUUAAUGCCUAUGUAGAAAUACUGUAGGAAUCGUAAUUUAUUAUGAAGUGCCGGACAGGUGUUGCAUGGCUGUCGUCAGCUCGUGCCGUGGGGUGUUCCCUUCAGUGGGGUAACGAGCGCAACCCCCGUCUCGUGUUGAAUAUUCACGAGAGACUUUCGACCUUUUGGUUGAAGGAAGUGGGGACGACGUCAAGUCAGCAUGGCCCUUAUAUCCGGGGCGACACACAUGCUACAAUGGAGCCGACAAUGGGUUGCCAAGCCGUAAGGCGGAGCUAAUCCCAUCAAACGGCUUCUCAGUGGGGAUUGAGGGCUGCAACUCGCCCUCAUGAACUCGGAAUUGGUAGUAAUCGCGGAUCAGCUAUGCCGCGGUGAAUACGUUCUCAGGUCUUGUACACACCGCCCGUCAAGUCAGUGAAGUUAGGGGCACCCGAAUCCCG
Molecule: ribosomal RNA, 1387 nt
Filed under: Candidatus Woesebacteria bacterium RIFCSPLOWO2_12_FULL_42_8
Lineage: Bacteria; Candidatus Woeseibacteriota
Description: bacterial SSU rRNA
Rfam family: Bacterial small subunit ribosomal RNA
Source: RNAcentral